CAGUUCGGAUUGGAGUCUGCAACCCGACUCCAUGAAGCUGGAUUCGCUAGUAAUCGCGCAUCAGCCACGGCGCGGUGAAUACGUUCCCGGGCCUUGUACCACACCGCCCGUCAAGCCAUGGAAGCCGGGAGUGCCUGAAGUACGCGACCGCAAGGAGCGUCCUAAGGUAAACCGGUGACUGGGGCUAAGUCGUAACAAGGUACC
This 204-nucleotide ribosomal RNA is filed under the name uncultured bacterium. Its description in RNAcentral is "partial 16S ribosomal RNA". It matches the Rfam family "Bacterial small subunit ribosomal RNA", at positions 1289 to 1500 of the family's 1533-position model. The record is from RNAcentral.